Molecule: transfer-messenger RNA, 326 nt
Filed under: Acidiphilium sp.
Lineage: Bacteria; Pseudomonadati; Pseudomonadota; Alphaproteobacteria; Acetobacterales; Acidocellaceae
Also listed under: 3 other names
Rfam family: Alphaproteobacteria transfer-messenger RNA
About the family: Bacterial tmRNA, also known as 10Sa RNA or SsrA, is named for its dual tRNA and mRNA-like properties.
Source: RNAcentral
UCCCUUUCGCAGGCGCUCGCAAUACCCUAUAUACCCUCCUGUCGGGCAACCGACUAUGGCGAUAAACGGUGCGUGGAAUAAGCGUAGUGGACCCGGGGGCAGUACCCGGCGCCUCCACCAUUUCUCUCCGCGAAUUUCUCUCGUUCGCGGAUUAAUGGGGGCGAAACAGGCUCGACACGCGCGGUAAAGACCCAUCUUUCGCUCGGCAUUGUACCGCCGUUAUCGGGCUAUAUCACAAGUGCCAACGAUAACUUCGAGGCAUUCGCUAUCGCUGCAUAAGCGAUAAGCGCGGUUGGGGGGGCACCGGGCAACAGAAGCCCCCCGCU